GUCUUUUUGUAUAUAAUUUAAAGUUUAACCUGCUCAAUGAAAUUUAAAUAGCUGCGGUAAUUUGACCGUACAAAGGUAGCAUAAUCAAUAGUUUCUUAAUUAGAAACUGGAAUGAAAGGUUGGAUAAGAAAAUUUCUGUCUCAAUUUAAAUUUAUUAGAAAUUUAUUUUUAAGUUAAAAAGCUUAAAUAUAAUUUAAUGACGAGAAGACCCUAUAGAGUUUAAUUAAUUAAUUAUUUUAAUUUAAUAGAAUUUAUUUAUUAAUUUAAUCAAAAUUAAUUUGAUUGGGGUGAUUGAAAAAUUUAAUAAACUUUUUUUAAUUUUUUUCAAAAAUAUUUGUUUAAUUGAUCCAUUUUAAUGAUUACAAGAAAAAAUUACCUUAGGGAUAACAGCGUAAUUUUUUUUGAGAGUUCAUAUCGAAAAGAAAGAUUGCGACCUCGAUGUUGGAUUAAAAUUUAAUUUUGGUGUAGAAGCUAAAAAUUUAGGUCUGUUCGACCUUUAAAAUUUUACA
This 509-nucleotide ribosomal RNA is filed under the name Corylophidae gen. n. sp. JAR. Its description in RNAcentral is "partial 16S ribosomal RNA". The stretch from base 383 to 509 matches the Rfam family "Bacterial large subunit ribosomal RNA", at positions 2473 to 2600 of the family's 2925-position model. Lineage: Eukaryota; Metazoa; Arthropoda; Insecta; Coleoptera; Corylophidae. The record is from RNAcentral.